CUUAAAAUCUACAUUCAGAACACAUAAAGAUAAUUCGAUGGUAGAAGGAAAGAUCCGUCUGGGAACUCAUGUUUUAAUAUUUCAUAAAAAAUUGAUACAUUUUCGAGCAUCUACAUCAAUGUUUCCCAUUUGUAUUGUUGCCUUUUAGACGAAAAAUGUGUUUAUUGUUCAACUUUUAUCUCAACCAGGCAGUAGUACCCCAAAGUCUCUCGGAGGACAUCAUUCUUCAAACCAGGGAACGUAGCACAUCAAAUUGCUGUCAAAAACUGGAAUUUUACUAGUUCAAAAAAAACAAGAGAUCUACCAGAGCCCCGCAUUCCAUCUUGUCACAUCAAAUCACCAUUCUAAUAUACACACCUAUAUAUAUUAUAUAUUUAUCAUGGCUUCUGGAAACGCCGUCCCCCGGGCACAGCUUCAUAUUAGGGCCAAGGGAAAUACUAAGUGUAAAGAUCACAAAGACAAUGACGUGAUUUUUUUAUGCCCAAAUUGUAAAACGCUAAUUUGCCAGACUUGCUCAAUUUCCACACAUAUAUCACAUAUCAAAAGUUUUGUUGAAAUUUCAAAAAUCAAUAAAGAAAACCAAAGUGUUAUUCAAUUUUUUUUUAAAUGAAACCGACAACGUUAAUAUUCCGAAAUUGAACCAGGAAAUUAUUUCAUCGCGAACAAAAAUGACUUCAUGUAAACCUAAAUACGAAAAUCUUCGCAAAAAAAUUAUUGACAAUAAUAACCAGUGUAAAUUAGAACUGGACAAGAUCACCGACGAUUACAUACAAUUUUGUGACAAGAUGGAGGUGGCGGCCAUGGACCUAAUUCAGACCCACAUCACAAACCUGGAGGAGAGGUUGAAUACUCUGAAGCAACUCUCAUCUGAGUAUAAACAGACUCUCCAGACAGGAACCGCUGUACUCGUGUACGACUCGGUAUCAGAAAUCCGGGAAAUGGAUCCAGACAUCCCACCGACACCU
Long non-coding RNA from Pecten maximus, 965 nucleotides. RefSeq lists it as uncharacterized. The transcript is spliced from 2 exons. Lineage: Eukaryota; Metazoa; Mollusca; Bivalvia; Pectinida; Pectinidae. The record is from RefSeq and is a predicted model, not a curated record.